Molecule: ribosomal RNA, 481 nt
Filed under: uncultured bacterium
Lineage: Bacteria
Description: bacterial SSU rRNA
Rfam family: Bacterial small subunit ribosomal RNA
Source: RNAcentral
AUUGAACGCUGGCGGCAGGCCUAACACAUGCAAGUCGAGCGUGAAAGGGCUUCGGCCUGAGUAAAGCGGCGGACGGGUGAGUAACGCGUAGGAAUCUACCUGGUAGUGGGGGAUAACGUUCCGAAAGGGACGCUAAUACCGCAUACGUUCCGAGGAAGAAAGCGGGGGAUCGCAAGACCUCGCGCUAUCAGAUGAGCCUGCGUCCGAUUAGCUAGUUGGUGGGGUAAAGGCCUACCAAGGCGACGAUCGGUAACUGGUCUGAGAGGAUGAUCAGUCACACUGGAACUGAGACACGGUCCAGACUCCUACGGGAGGCAGCAGUGGGGAAUAUUGGACAAUGGGCGCAAGCCUGAUCCAGCCAUGCCGCGUGUGUGAAGAAGGCCUUCGGGUUGUAAAGCACUUUAAGCGGGGAGGAAGGCCUGGCGGCUAAUAUCCGUCGGGAUUGACGUUACCCGCAGAAUAAGCACCGGCAAACUUCGUG